This 253-nucleotide ribosomal RNA is filed under the name uncultured bacterium. Its description in RNAcentral is "partial 16S ribosomal RNA". It matches the Rfam family "Bacterial small subunit ribosomal RNA", at positions 524 to 776 of the family's 1533-position model. The record is from RNAcentral.
UACAGAGGUGCCAAGCGUUAGGCGGAAUCACUGGGCUUAAAGCGUGUGUAGGCGGGUGCCCAAGUACCUUGUGAAAUCCCACGGCUCAACCGUGGAACUGCUGGGUAUACUGGGUGCCUUGGGUCAUCUAGGGGCUGCCGGAACAAAUGGUGGAGCGGUGAAAUGCGUAGAUAUCAUUUGGAACGCCAGCGGCGAAAGCAGGCAGCUGGGGAUGCGCCGACGCUGAGACACGAAAGCCAGGGGAGCGAACGGG